RNAcentral lists this ribosomal RNA (788 nucleotides) under Mesodinium pulex. RNAcentral's name for it is "partial Eukaryotic large subunit ribosomal RNA". It matches the Rfam family "Eukaryotic large subunit ribosomal RNA", at positions 31 to 900 of the family's 3401-position model. Lineage: Eukaryota; Ciliophora; Litostomatea; Cyclotrichida; Mesodiniidae. The record is from RNAcentral.
AAUUUAAGCAUAUAACUAAGCGGAGGAAAAGAAACUAACAAGGAUUCCCUCAGUAACGGCGAGUGAAGCGGGACGAGCUCAGACUGAAAAUCUUCGGAAUUGUAGUCUGGAGAAGUCAAGUCAUCUCUAUCUCCCGGGCAAAGCCUGUAGGAAAACGGCACCAUGGAGGGUGAUAGUCCCGUCUAUGCCUGGGCAGAUGAGUGUACGACUGGCUUUCAACGAGUCGAGUUGCUUGGGAUUGCAGCUCUAAGUGGGUGGUAAAUUCCAUCUAAAGCUAAAUAUUGGUGGGAGACCGAUAGCGAACAAGUACCGUGAGGGAAAGAUGAAAAGAACUUUGAAAAGAGAGUUAAAGAGUACCUGAAAUUGCUGAAAUGGAACCGAUGGGAGGCAGUGUUGGCGUGCGGCCAUUCUGUGUUGUCCGCUAGCGGGUAGCGCGUGAUGCCGUGUGCAAGUCAGGCUUUUUUCGACGAGUGGGAGAGGUCCCAAACCUGUAUGGGUUGGGUGUGCCGUCACUUGUUGGAGGGACUCUGACGAAAUGCCUCUUAUCAACCCGUCUUGUAACACGGACCAAGGAGUCUAACAUAUGUGCGAGUUCACGGGCGGGUAAACCUGCUUGCGCAAUGAAAGUGACUGCUGGGAUCUUUGCACCAGCAACCGACCAAUCAAUUGAGAGAGGUUUGAGUAUGAGCAUAUCUGUUAGGACCCGAAAGAUGGUGAACUAUGCCUGAGUAGGGCGAAGCCAGGGGAAACUCUGGUGGAGGUCCGCAGCGAUUCUAACGUGCAAAUUG